CACAACCCUAGCUCAACCAACCCAACUAAAAUACCAUAACCCUUUAAACCAAACCAUUUGCCAAAACUAGUAAAUGCGAUUAAACCUUAACAACUGACGCUAUAGCACACAGUACCGCAAGGGAAAGAUGAAAUAACAAUUUUAUAUCUGACGCUAAAAAAAGCAGAGAUAAAACCACGUACCUCUCGCAUCAKGGAUUAGCCAGCAACCCAAAACAAAAAGCCAUUACCCAGCCUUCCUUCCCGAAAUCAAGUGAGCUACUCCAGGGCAGCUAAUCGAGCCAACCCAUCUCUGUAGCAAAAGAGUGGGAUAACCUUAGAGUAGAGGCGAAAAACCUAACGAACUUGAUGAUAGCUGGUCGCCUGUCACCCAUAAACGAAUCUUAGUUCAACUUCAAGCUGUCACACAAACACUAGUACACCAUUACGCUUGAAAGAUAUUCAACGGGGGUACAGCCCCGUUGAACUAGACUACAAACUACCAAGGAGAACUAACAACAACCACCACCAGUAGGCCUUAAAGCAGCCACCAAUAACUCAAAGCGUCACAGCCACCACACCAAAAAUACCUAAAAAAAUAACCAAACCCUUCAACUCACCAGGCCAUUCUAUUAAAUAGAAGAACUAAUGCUAAUAUUAGUAACAAGAAUAUAUUCUCUAAGCACACCUUUAAGCCAGCAAUAGAACCCCCACUGACAAUUACUCAAACCACUACAAGGCACAACUCCAACAACACCAAACCUACAGUACAACCUUUUGUUAACCCAACACAGGAAUGCAACCAGGAAAGAUUAAAAGUUAAAGAAGGAACUCAGCAACAACCCACCAAGACCCCAACUGUUUACCAAAAACAUAGCCUCUAGCAUAAAAUAUUAGAGGUCCCGCCUGCCCAGUGACACCAACCCGUUAAACGGCCGCGGUAUA
This 923-nucleotide ribosomal RNA is filed under the name Ophiodes sp. RNAcentral describes it as "partial large subunit ribosomal RNA". The stretch from base 242 to 358 matches the Rfam family "Bacterial large subunit ribosomal RNA", at positions 715 to 853 of the family's 2925-position model. The record is from RNAcentral. Lineage: Eukaryota; Metazoa; Chordata; Lepidosauria; Squamata; Diploglossidae.